CUUGUUGUUACUCUUACGCAUAUUAAAGAGGUUGGGUAAAAAUAUUCGAUAGAGCAAGCAUUCAAACGCAAUGUCAUGCAAUUAAAACAUGGAACAGAUGAACAAUGACGGAAAGCAGAUGGUGUAGUCUCUCAAUGCAACACAUACAUCUACAUAGAAGUCACAAUGUUGCAAUAUUGAAUGCAUAUAAGUGCUAAAGAGAUGGGAUUCGACCAGGCA
Molecule: long non-coding RNA, 219 nt
Filed under: Mytilus galloprovincialis (Mediterranean mussel)
Lineage: Eukaryota; Metazoa; Mollusca; Bivalvia; Mytilida; Mytilidae
Source: RNAcentral